GUGAGGAAUUUUCCGCAAUGGGCGAAAGCCUGACGGAGCAAUGUCGCGUGAAGGAUGAAGGCCUAUGGGUUGUAAACUUCUUUUCUCAGAAAAGAAUUAUGACGGUAUCUGAGGAAUAAGCAUCGGCUAACUCUGUGCCAGCAGCCGCGGUAAGACAGAGGAUGCAAGCGUUAUCCGGAAUGAUUGGGCGUAAAGCGUCUGUAGGUUGUUUAAAAAGUAUUCUGUCAAAGAUUAGGGCUUAACCCUAGAUAGGCAGAAUAAACUUUUAAGCUAGAGUUUGGUAGAGGCAGAGGGAAUUCCCGGUGGAGCGGUGAAAUGCGUAGAUAUCGGGAGGAACACCAAAGGCGAAGGCACUCUGCUGGGCCAAUACUAACACUGAGAGACGAAAGCGAGGGGAGCAAAUGGGAUUAGAUACCCGGGUAGUCC
RNAcentral lists this ribosomal RNA (426 nucleotides) under uncultured bacterium. RNAcentral's name for it is "partial 16S ribosomal RNA". It matches the Rfam family "Bacterial small subunit ribosomal RNA", at positions 354 to 796 of the family's 1533-position model. The record is from RNAcentral.